GAUGAACGCUGGCGGCGUGCCUAAUACAUGCAAGUCGAGCGAACAGACGAGGAGCUUGCUCCUCUGACGUUAGCGGCGGACGGGUGAGUAACACGUGGAUAACCUACCUAUAAGACUGGGAUAACUUCGGGAAACCGGAGCUAAUACCGGAUAAUAUAUUGAACCGCAUGGUUCAAUAGUGAAAGACGGUUUUGCUGUCACUUAUAGAUGGAUCCGCGCCGCAUUAGCUAGUUGGUAAGGUAACGGCUUACCAAGGCAACGAUGCGUAGCCGACCUGAGAGGGUGAUCGGCCACACUGGAACUGAGACACGGUCCAGACUCCUACGGGAGGCAGCAGUAGGGAAUCUUCCGCAAUGGGCGAAAGCCUGACGGAGCAACGCCGCGUGAGUGAUGAAGGUCUUCGGAUCGUAAAACUCUGUUAUUAGGGAAGAACAAAUGUGUAAGUAACUAUGCACGUCUUGACGGGACCUAAUCAGAAAGCCACGGCGAACUACGU
This 496-nucleotide ribosomal RNA is filed under the name uncultured bacterium. Its description in RNAcentral is "partial 16S ribosomal RNA". It matches the Rfam family "Bacterial small subunit ribosomal RNA", at positions 28 to 506 of the family's 1533-position model. The record is from RNAcentral.